Long non-coding RNA from Rhinopithecus bieti (black snub-nosed monkey), 1052 nucleotides. NCBI's taxonomy places the organism in Eukaryota, Metazoa, Chordata, Mammalia, Primates, Cercopithecidae. The record is from Ensembl.
CCAUCUUAAUCUUAUUAUGCAAAUGAACUCGCCCGUUGACUGGCGCCAUCUUGUCUGCUCCUGACUACACGCAGCUGAUAAAGAGAAGGGAAGAUGGGGCUCCCAUUUUGAGCAUGAUUGGCACAAAUGCCAGCAUAUAUGUCUGCAGCUCGAUUUUAUAUGCUGCUCAUUGUUAGAAAGGAAAAUGGUUCGGGGCUGCUUUUCAUUAAAAGGAAAACUUGACUGAGGACUUCUGUACCCUCACUAUCUGCCUAAGUAAUUUCUUUUUUUUUUUUCUUUCUUUCUUUUUUUUUUUGAGAGGGAGUCUUCUCUGUCUCCAGGUUGGAGUGCAGUAGCACUCACUGCAACCUCUGCCUCCCAGAUUCAAGCGAUUCUCCUGCCUCAGCCUCCCGAGUAGCUGGCACUAGAGAUGGGGUUUCACCAUGCUGGCCAGGAUGGUUUUGAUCUCUUGACCUCGUGAUCUGCCUGCCUCCGCCUCUCAAAGUGCUGGGAUUACAGGCGUGAUCCACUGUGCCGGGCCAGUAAUUUCUUCUUAAAUCCUGUAUCAACAUAUGAUAAAAUACAGCAUUUUAAAACAAGUUUUGAAAAGAUUAAGAAUUUAUAAAAGCUCUAAGAAGGAAACUUCAAAUAUGGAUCUCAAUCACGAGCAAGGUAAUGAGGACCCAGUGACCAUGAAGAGGCUCCAGAAGUCCAUGACCUUCUGUUAUGAAAAGUUAUAGUACGAUCUGUGCUCAACAGAAAAGUGCCUACUGAAGUGACCAGUGCCAUGAUGUUGUAUCUGCUUGGUCAGUGAUGCCAUGAGCAAGAUGGUGGAGGCCAGGAACAGGAUGAAAGGAACAACCAACGCGACUAUAUGAGCCUGGAGGAGAUACUGAUGAAGCUUUUGAAGUCUGUCAAUUACAGUGCUGUUUCUGGGUGGAUGCUCCAUGGUGAGAAACUGAAUUUGAAUGUAAUUCCCAAUAGCUGAAGGGAUGAUUGUCACACAAGUAAUCAUCAGAGAACCCAGUAAUAGCCAGGGAAGCAACCUCAAAAUUCUCCACCUCAGCCAGAGA